RNAcentral lists this ribosomal RNA (253 nucleotides) under uncultured bacterium. RNAcentral's name for it is "partial 16S ribosomal RNA". It matches the Rfam family "Bacterial small subunit ribosomal RNA", at positions 524 to 776 of the family's 1533-position model. The record is from RNAcentral.
UACGGGGGGGGCAAGCGUUGUUCGGAAUUACUGGGCGUAAAGGGCUCGUAGGUGGCCAACUAAGUCAGACGUGAAAUCCCUCGGCUUAACCGGGGAACUGCGUCUGAUACUGGAUGGCUUGAGUUUGGGAGAGGGACGCGGAAUUCCAGGUGUAGCGGUGAAAUGCGCAGAUAUCAGGAGGAACACCGGUGGCGAAGGCGGAUCUCUGGGCCUUACCUGACGCUCAGGUGCGAAAGCUAGGGGAGCGAACAGG